Molecule: ribosomal RNA, 432 nt
Filed under: uncultured bacterium
Lineage: Bacteria
Description: partial 16S ribosomal RNA
Rfam family: Bacterial small subunit ribosomal RNA
Source: RNAcentral
CCUACGGGAGGCAGCAGUGGGGAAUAUUGGACAAUGGGCGAAAGCCUGAUCCAGCAAUGCCGCGUGAGUGAUGAAGGCCUUCGGGUUGUAAAGCUCUUUUGCCGAUGAGGCGGUAGUCGGCGAAUAAGCCCCGGCUAACUUCGUGCCAGCAGCCGCGGUAAUACGAAGGGGGCUAGCGUUGUUCGGAAUGACUGGGCGUAAAGGGUGCGUAGGCUGCGCAGCAAGUCAGGCGUGAAAUCCCCGGGCUCAACCUGGGAACUGCGCUUGAGACUGUUGUGCUUGAGACCGGGAGAGGAUGGCGGAAUACCCAGUGUAGAGGUGAAAUUCGUAGAUAUUGGGUAGAACACCGGUGGCGAAGGCGGCCAUCUGGACCGGUCUGACGCUGAGGCACGAAAGCGUGGGGAGCAAACAGGAUUAGAUACCCUUGUAGUC